This is a long non-coding RNA of Panicum virgatum (switchgrass), 2129 nucleotides long. RefSeq lists it as uncharacterized. Lineage: Eukaryota; Viridiplantae; Streptophyta; Magnoliopsida; Poales; Poaceae. The transcript is spliced from 3 exons. The record is from RefSeq and is a predicted model, not a curated record.
CGGAAUUACGCGCUUCGUUUUCGUUGCCGUCAUGCUAGCCUUCCGCACGGCGCCGGCUCUCACUCUGCCCACUACUUGUUCGACAAAAAGUCUACCCGUUCCCGGGGCAGCGACCUCCGCCUCCCCAGCCAGCCUCCUGCCGUCCUGCGGCUGCGGCGGUGCCCUCUUCUCCCAUGGUCCGCCGCGCGCCUCCCAGGCCCGUAGUUCCGUCCGUGCAUUCGCUCCCCGCCCGUAGAUAUCGGGGGCAUGGCGCGCUCCGCCGCAUCCAGGGGAACGGUGUUUGAUGUCUUCCUACCGCGGGGCACUAGCUCAGAUGGCUCGCGGAGGCUACUGGUCCGUGAAUAGGAGUAUAGGAUGAGCUGACAUAAAUUCGGCGACCAAUUUCUUGGAGGCUGAAAGCUAGGACUGGUUCACCUCCAUGGUUCCACUGCAUACAAUCUGCUCGUAGUGUAAGCAGGCAAGUGCCUGAGAAGGAAACUCAGAAGCAAAGUUUGGCUAUUCCUGAUUUCUGUCAGCAUCUUAUCAUGGGAAUGUUUAUGUUGUCGAAUGGCCAUUUCGUCUUGUCAGGUUUAAUAUCUAUCUGUGUCUGAAAGUGACAUAUUGCAGCCGGCAACUUGAGUGGAAAAGGUUAGAUCGUGACCAACACCUGAAGGGUCGGGGUCGUAUUGGCUUGUAUAUACAUUAUUACGAUUAUAGAAAAGUUUUCGUGCUUACAUGCAGGCAGAAGGGGCAGCAUUUUAAGUAGAAACUAAGAUGUGGGGUCAUCAGUUUUUUUCCUCAUUCUUUUCUCACCGAUUGAAUGGGUCUAGCCUUCCAAUAGCUCAUACAUGCAACCACUAUGAUCAAAUGUGUCACUUGUCAUCAACUGUGACUAUUGUUGGAACUUGCCCAUGGUUAACAAAUUCAAUCUUGUUCAGCCUAACACAGCAGAGGACCUGCUCAGGGAGCUCCUCUUGCUUCUGGGCCUGCAAGAUCAUUAUAAUUAAUUACAAUUAAUAUAGACUGAGUAUGAGAUAUUUCAAGAGCAAUUCCAGAUAAACUGCAGUGUUAGUUAUUCAUGGGUAUGGAAAAUUUUCUAUGCAAGUCAACGGUGAGCUCUAUGAUUAUCAAUUUAACAGUAUUUGAUGAAUCUGAAAUUUGUCUUGCACCCAAAGAAAGACAUGAGGACAUCUGUUCUCUGCAAAUAAGUAGAAGAAGCGGAAGAAGAUUGAUAGAUGCAUAUUUGGUGAAAAUCUAAAGGAAAACUUACCUGAAUUGUCAAACCCAAAUCGAGGAUGCCAUUCUUUAGGCGUUCCCUAAAUGAAUCUAGUCCCUUCCUAGCAAUGUAGCUGAACCGGUGUAUAUCAAGAUCUACCUCAAAGUAGUUCUCUCCCUGGUGAGGUAAGAGAUAAACAUUAACUGGUGGUUUCUAGAAUACCAUACAAUCUGAUUACCACCUAACAACAUUGUGUGUUACUUCACAGUUCAAACAAGUACAUCACUUUACCUCAUAGAAAUUAUGUUGGGGCCGUGAGAGGACUGGCUUCUCAUUGUAUGCUUGGACAAGCUUCUUCUCUGUGGAACCCAACUGGAGGUCAUCUGGGUUGACCAAUCCAGCCAUGAUUUUCAAUCGAUCUCUGUACAUGGUGGUAGAUUCUGAUGUAAACCCUUUUACCUUCUCAGAUUCAUUCUGAAAAAAUUUCUGUUGACAGAAGGAUUCUGUUAGCUCACAGAAAAUAAUUCUGUUUGGGAAAUAGAGAUGGUGAACUGGAAAAGGCUAACCAUGAUAGAAUCCUUGAAAUGAUCCGAAACCUCCUUCUCAUAGUAUUCAGAUAUCCUGAAGUACAAGACGAGGCUAAAGCCUUCUCCGUCGCUGUCACCGAGGAACAUGGCAGCAGGGUAGGGGAGUACCUGGAUGUUCACAAUCAAAAGUGACGGGAGCUUGGGAUGUGUUCUGAUCUGUGGAAGAUCAAGGUGCUGAGCAAUGUGAUGAACCUUCUUGGUGCAGGCAAACAAAUCCACCCCUAUCGGAUAAUAAGCAGCAUAAUUUGGAGCAGCACAUUUCUUCUUAUCUCUGCAAAGAUUUAAAUCAGAUGUUCGGUUCAUACAGCUCAUUUCAUGCUUAUAGAUAAACAUAUUUGAUAUCGUUA